GUCCAAGGCCAUACCACCCUGAAGGUGCCCGAUCUUGUCUGAUCUUGGAAGCUAAGCAGGGUCAGGCCUGGUUAGUACUUGGAUGGGAGAAUUGCAUUGUAUU
Molecule: ribosomal RNA, 103 nt
Filed under: Mesocricetus auratus (golden hamster)
Lineage: Eukaryota; Metazoa; Chordata; Mammalia; Rodentia; Cricetidae
Source: RNAcentral